CCUACGGGUGGCAGCAGUGAGGAAUAUUGGUCAAUGGUCGGGAGACUGAACCAGCCAAGCCGCGUGAGGGAGGAAGGUACAGAGUAUCGUAAACCUCUUUUGUCAGGGAACAAAGACUGGGACGCGUCCCCGGAUGAGUGUAUCUGAAGAAAAAGCAUCGGCUAACUCCGUGCCAGCAGCCGCGGUAAUACGGAGAAUGCGAGCGUUAUCCGGAUUGAUGGGGUUUAAAGGGUGCGCAGGCGGUCUGUAAAGUCAGCGGUCAAAGCCCGGGGCUCAACCCCGGCCCGCCGUUGAAACUGGGAGGCUCGAGUUGGAGAGAAGUAGGCGGAAUGCGCGGUGUAGCGGUGAAAGGCAUAGAUAUCGCGCAGAACUCCGAUUGCGAAGGCAGCAUGCCGGCUCCACACUGACGCUGAGGCACGAAAGCGUGGGUAGCGAACAGGAUUAGAUACCCCAGUAGUC
Molecule: ribosomal RNA, 459 nt
Filed under: uncultured bacterium
Lineage: Bacteria
Description: partial 16S ribosomal RNA
Rfam family: Bacterial small subunit ribosomal RNA
Source: RNAcentral